RNAcentral lists this long non-coding RNA (410 nucleotides) under Dromaius novaehollandiae (emu). RNAcentral describes it as "lncRNA (ENSDNVG00000009840.1)". The record is from RNAcentral. Lineage: Eukaryota; Metazoa; Chordata; Aves; Casuariiformes; Dromaiidae.
CACGCAUCUGUCUUCAAAUUCCAAAUAUAUGCCUCCAACAACAUUUAUUAUUGUGAGGGGGCUUCUGUAACCCUACUGCUCAGCUCUUGAAUGGCCCAGCUAUGCAUAUCAUAGUUGCAUUUGUUUAUCACAGGGCAUCUGAAAAAACAAAGGAAAUAAGUCCUUGGCAAUCAGUGGGACAGAUGGGAACCAGCACCAAACAGGAGGAAGAGUCUGUGCUUCAGAUCAGGUCGGAAAAGGUUGCAGCAUAUGAACAAACUGCUCAAAUUGAUCAAACAGUCAGUGUAAACCAAAAGAAAUGUGGUAUUUCAAAAUCUGAGAAAAAAGACAUCCGCUUCCUGGAGCUGCUAAUAACACCACAACAAAAGGAGCUGAAAGCAGUGGAAGACUGUGGAAAAAACACAAAAUAA